Molecule: long non-coding RNA, 1040 nt
Filed under: Sorghum bicolor (sorghum)
Lineage: Eukaryota; Viridiplantae; Streptophyta; Magnoliopsida; Poales; Poaceae
Description: long non-coding RNA (SBIC_LNC005451)
Source: RNAcentral
AGGCUAAAAAAAAUUUGUCUCACAUAUUACAGUUAAAUUAUGCAAUUAGUUUUUUUAUUUUUAUUUAAUGCUCUAUGCAUAUGCCGCAAAAUUCAAUGCGACGGCUGAAAAAAUUUGCAAAACUUUUUGGGAAAGUUUACCCCAAAAACAAAAAAAAAGAUUCCCCGUCAUAUCGAAUCUUGCGGCACAUGCAUGAAGUAGUAAAUAUAAUCGAAAACAAAAACUAAUUGUACAGUUUACUUGUAAAUCGCGAGAUGGAUCUUUUGAGCCUAGUUAGUCCAUAAUUGGAUAAUAAUUGCUAAAUAAAAACAAAAGUAUUACAGUACCCAAAACCAAAAAAAAUCAAAACUAGACAAGCGCCCCCAAAAACCAAAAACUUUUCAAGAUUCCCCGUGAAUCUUGCGGCACAUGCAUGGAACAUUAAAUAUAGAUAAAAAUAAAAGCUGCACAGUUUGUCUUUAAAUCACGAGACGAAUCUUUUAAGCUUAGUUACUUCAUGGUUGCACAUUUAUCAAAUAAAAACUAAGCCAUAUCCUUAGAGGAAGCAUACUAGCUGACUAGCAUCAAGUCCUUCAGACCUGUAAAAGUUGAGUUUGUUCGCUUGUCUAAAAAGUCAUGGUUAAAAGUACUGUUCACUGAUUUGUUAUGAGAGUAAAACACUACUAAAUAGCUGACAUAUUUGAUAGAUAAGCUCAAGCGAAUAGGCUCAACGUAUCUAGUAUAUCACACUAAGACAAAACAAAACAAAACAAAACAAAACAAAGCAAAACAAUGUAAGGUCCACAGAACAUCUCAAACACACAAAAAUAUGUUAUAAUAAGUGCAUUUAACCCUUAGUGGAUUUUGUUUGGUUAAAUGACAACCAUAGUUAAAGGUCUAACAAUUUUGUUAAGUGUUGAACAAGGAUUUAAUUAUACUACCUACACUUGGAGAUGUGAAUUAUCGUAUGAUUUAAAGUGUAUCAAAGGUUUAACAAGAAGACAAACUUGAUUGUAUCCCACAAUGUGCUGAAAUGAAAGCUAAAUUAUGUGAUGUUGUGU